This 4507-nucleotide long non-coding RNA is filed under the name Homo sapiens (human). Its description in RNAcentral is "HSALNT0378221". Lineage: Eukaryota; Metazoa; Chordata; Mammalia; Primates; Hominidae. The record is from RNAcentral.
UUAAAAAGAAGGAAUCUAAGACUAUUUUAAAAAUUUCUCUCAAUGAUUUAAUAUUUGGGUUUUAUGUAUUUUAUUCCAUUUUAGCACUGUGAGAUAGCAUGAUUGCCUAAAGGACUGUAUUAAAGAUGAGUGCACAGUUCUGUCUUAUUUAUCUGCUGUCACAUUGUUUUGACACAGAAGAAAGUCAAGUAACAUUGAUGAAGAGCUAAAAUAUGCUCUAACUGUGGAAAAAAUAAAUAUAAAUUGUCCAUAGUUGCUCAAUUUCUAAAGUAAAAGGAAAAAAUACAGUGUAAGACUGUGAAUUAGUUCAGGAAGGUAAACUUAAGUAAUGUUUAUUUAACUUCAAGAUUUCAGUGGCUUAACUCAACAAAGGUCUGCUUCUUCUGCAUGUCACGGGACAAUGCUGGUUGGUAUGGAUGGCUCUUCUCCAUGCAGUAAUUCAGAGACACAGGCUUCUUUCAUCUAGUGAUUUAUUUUUCCCUGCAGCUUCAGAUACUCUUUUUCCCUCUCUCUGGGAUCCUUUGCAUCUGUCUGGCAGAUAUGGAGACGGAAAGCACAAGAGGAUUGUGUUAGGAGUCUUAAGGGCUGGAUGUGACACUCCUUGAAAGGGAAGCUGGGGAAUGAGUAUGUAGGUGUGUGUCCAGGAUGUAGGGAAAAUGGGUUUGGUGGGGACAGCACUUCCUGGAAUAACGUUGCUUUGGAUUUAACAACAGUUGGGCAAAGGAGGUCGGUAUACAGAUACAGGACAAGAAGAGUGGUGUCAAAGGGAGGCUAAAUCAUUGGUUCUGGCUUCAUCUAAGGAAUUCUUAUGAGAAAUCGAGGGAGAGACUGUCCUGGGAAGUCUGAUGAAACAUGCAUGAGUCUUCGUUGAAACCGUGGGAGGAAGAAGAGUUUUACCAAUCACCAGUGCUGAAGAAAUCUCUCCUUUCUGGGCAGGAUGAGGGAAUCACUAAAUGACGAUGUUUUCAUCUGAUAUUUAAUAUACUCCUGAGGAUAAGGAGCCUGGUUGAUAAGCAUUGCAGUUUACCAGAAACUCUGCAGAAGACUUCAGACUGGAAAAGCCAGCCAGAGUCCAGGAGGGGAGGAGGAGGAUGCAGAGGAGCCCUGGCCAAGAUGAACGGAGAUGAACUGACACUUCAGGAGACUGUGUUCUCUAAAACCAGCACUGCUGUUGGGGUACUUUACCUCUUAGAGUUAAUUAGAUGCUUAAAAGUGAAACCAUCACUCUGCCUUCAGCAGAUUUGAGGGCUGCCUCAUUUAGCUUUUCAACCUUGCAUCAGCUUGCUGCUCUUGCCUUCCAUCUGAAGUCAAGACAGUGGGGAGGGGAAAUACAUAUACAGAAGCCUUGAUAUCCAGGAAAGUGCUUCCAUCAACCUCAUUUAUCACAUGACAUUUCCUGGGAUUAUCAGUCUAGUUAAACUGAUUCCUUGACCAUGACUUACCUUGAUUCUUCUGAAAUCCACAUUUGUAACCAGCUUGGAUAAAUCAGUCACAAAUCUUGGUAGGCUAUCUGGUUAACCUACUCUAGAAAAUGAUUAUUUUAGAGAGGAGUGAUAAAAACUAUCCCUUGCAAGGAGAAGAUGAACAUAAAGUAGCUUAAAAGAGACUCAAAAGGCUUGUAGUAAGAGACGAAAGGAAAUACUUUUUGAAAGUCAGGGUUUCUAAAUAUCUAUGCUGGAAAGGGCUUAUGAGAAAAGAACUGGUAUUUCCUUUAAAAAUAAGAUAGACAUGGCUACAUCUCUAUGUGUUCAACAGCUUUUCACCGCUUGGGGUCUUAUUCCUCUUUGAGAACCUGUUGGAAGAAAUGAAGUUCUUCUGAGAAAAGAGAUGUCAGAUUUCCAUACAUGGAGUUAAGAAGCCCUGCCCUGAUUUAAGAUUGUGAAUAGUUCACAGUUAGGGAAGACCAAUGCAGUCAGGAAAAUGAAGGUGGUGAGGAAUGAGCUGAGGAAAAUAUUCGAUUGACAAACUCAGUAUUAUGUGUACUAUAUGUGUGUUUAUGUACGCCCUUUUCUGUUGGACUCACUCGUGGCACAUAGCGGCCAUUCAGUAAAGACUUGCUGGAGGAAGGAAUGAAAGCCUGAUUGUUGGGUGACUCCUAGAAAGAGGCACCCUCUAUACCAGGUUUAGAAAGACGUGAUCUAUGCCAGAGAGAGGAGUGUGAUGUCGUGGCAAGAGAAUUUGCUAUUGCUGCUGAACUUGGCUCUCUGGGGAGUUUUAGGAUACAUUGCAGCUCCAAGAUGGAAUUUCAGCCUGUGCCUCCACAGUCCCUUUAUGGGGAACUUGGGCUGGGCCUUGAUUAUGUUGUGAGACUCUCAUGGGAACACUUCUGUGGGGAACCAUGUUUUCCUCCCACAGCGUUGCUAAUUCAGAAAAUUAAAGGGACCCCCUGCCUACCUCUCAUGUUAGUUUAAAGAGAAGCUGGAUUGCUCUAUGGAAAUCCUUUUGUAGCAGAAAUCAGGACAGCUGUUUGUAAAUAGUAACCUGUGAGAAAAUACUCAAGCUCUCAAUAGGCAGAGGGAAAAGUCAGCCUUAGAGUAUAUCCUACAAGCUGUUCAAAUACUUACCCCAUGAUAAAUAAUAGCCUUCUUAAUCCUAUAAUAUUCUCUAUCAUUGUCUUUUCCCAGUGUGCCAAGAUGUGGUGUUUUACUUCGAAUCAGCUAAUGCAUGAUGCUAAUUAGCACAUUAAUUCUGUUGACUCUGUUCAUAAUAAUUAGUGUAUUGGUGGGCUCUUAGCAUAUCAAAAUGGUAUUUUUAUUCCUGCCUAAAUGUUUACUGUCAGAUAGUAGCUAGUUACUAGAGUUUGACAAUAGGAAAUGUGAUACAGAGAAUCAGACAUUCUGUGAGAAGCAACAUAUCCCCACGCAGAUUGCGUGGAAAGAGGAUGGAAAAGAAAUUCCAAACAAUGAAUGUGUGACUUAACUUGUGACCAAGUACAGUUCAACUUCUGUUGAGCAAGGGAUGCUUGUAUUAUUAUUAAUUUCACCUCUGAGUGAUGACAACAUUCUUGGCGCCAUAGGAAGUCAUAGGACAAUGUGCUUUUACACAUCUGCCAUCAUUUUCAUGAAAUCCUAACUAAUUGCUUGACUGCUGCUGAGGCAUCAGCACUUGCACUCGAUGUGGAAUUUGUCCAGCUUGGCUGUAAUUGUAUUAUUCAGUUACAUUUUAAAAAAUGAGUGUAAAUGAGGUCGAUCUGCUAAUUUCAGUAAAUUGUCAUGAAGUGGAAUGAUAGGGGAUGAUUGCUCUUUUGGAUGACACAUUGUUUAAAUGAGAACCUAAUGAUACCUGGACAAACUUCUGGAGAAAUUACCAAAUUGCUAACAUGCCAUGUGAAAUCCUUGAACACUAUUAAGAUAAUUACAGGAGAUUGAUGUGUUUGCCUUAGUUUAAAAUCUUAAUUAGCAUUGACACCAAAAGCAACAUCCCUAUGUUAAAAACACAAUGUGAAUACUAUUUUAUUAUUACCAUGGAACCUUGACCUUUCUUUCCUUCACCUAUAGCUCAAUCCUUGUCUUCCUCCAGUCCCAGGGCUCCUUAUCACAACCAUCAUUUUGAUUUUACACUGGAUUUACAUGAUACCUUUUACUGAAGUGCUUAAAUCUAGGAAAGAAUAAAUUUCUAUUGACUAGGAGUCAGAAACUUAGGGUAGAAUGAUGGAGCAUUGUUUUAUAACAGGAGCAGUUUCCAGCUUGGAUUCAAAAUACUGAUUAAAAAAAUUUGUUUUCUAUUAUGAUUGGAUCUGUACUUUCUAACGCCAAAUAUUUUAAUCCAGAUACUUUUUAUCUUGAUCCCACGCUUGCCCUUUAACCUUUACCAGAAAUUCAGAGAAACAGAGUACAUAUUUCGCCACACAAUGGUCAUCCUCACUGAAUACUUUUAUCCAGAGGUCUACAAACUAUGACCCUCCAGUCAAAUCCUACCUUGCCCUUGUUUUUGUAAAUAAAGUUUUAUUGGAACAUAACCAUGCUCAUUUGUUUAUAUAUUGUCUAUGGCUGCUUUCACACUACAAAGGCAGACUUAAGUAGUGCAACUAAGACCAUAUGUCCCAUAAGGCCCCAAAUAUUUGCUAUCUGGGCUUUUCCCAGAAAAAGUUUGCUGACCCCUGAUCUAGACUUUUAGAAACCAAGACACAAAAGAUUCUUAACAAAGAAAUAGUUUCCACAUUUGUUAAACUCUUCCAAAUAACUUUAAUACUUAACAUAAAAAUGUCAAGAAAGUAUUGUGAAAUAGUACACUGAUUUCUUUCCUAUGUUUCAAGGGAUAGUUAGACAGUAAGUCAUGGCACCAGUGAAUUGAAAAUCCAUUGUCACUGACAGAAUAUCUCUGCCGUCAGCUAAGCCUCCCACAGAAUCCAUGAUAUGGUCUGAGGAGAAAGCUGGUGUGAACGUACGGAGAGUCUCUAUAUAUACAGCAGAUCCUCUAAUAAUAUUGUCUCAUUCACUAUUGUUUAGUUUUUUUUUUUUUUUUUCCCUGAGAUGGAGUCUCUCUCAGUCUCCCAGGCUGGAGUGCA